AAUCGUAGUGGCCAGUUUUAAUAUUGUAAUCGGUUGCACUUCAUUGUAAAAAGAUACAGAAAAUAAAAAAUGCACAAUACCCAGGAAACAAAUUUGAAUGCACAACUUUGGAGAAUAACACAAAUGACAUUGAUUAUGUCAACAUUAAAGCAGUAAUCAAGCAGGUGCUUGAACAUGAUCUCGAUUUUAUAAUGAGUUUGGAGAAAUCUUAAUUUUGAUUCCUAAAAUAACACUACAUUAACUAUUAUAAACAUCAUAACAGCAAAUGGAACAUACUCUCAACUUCACUGGAUAUAAUGCUGCUGAAUGGGAGGACUGAGCCGACAAGCAUAGCGGCUAUCCACCUUUGCCCGCUUUAUGAAGGAACGAAUAUGGUGGAAAUAUGUGCUCUGCACGUUUUACCGAUGUGGUUGUAACAAACUAGUUCGGGGUCAAUUGAUCGGAUGAUGAGUUCUGGAUCGCACACAAAAAUUGCCCUUGACCCUUUAAGCCAUGGCGUGUGGCAUUGACCUUAAGCGAGCCGAUACUUGCACUCAAAAUACCACGUCGAAGUUGUGAAUAUGUUGCCAUGAAAAAUCAAUAUCCCAAGAGUGAUUCUAGCGGGAAUCAUAUGUGGGCGGAUUGUCAUCUGGGAUAAUAAUUACCCUUUCGGAAGCACAAUCAAGCUCACGAUUACAACUUUUGCUAGGGGACAUCAAUUCACACAGAUUUUCAGAUUCACGUAGUUUGAGUUCUUUCCCGUCCAUCGAUCACGCUGGGUGUGUGUACAUGAUCAAGCAUCGAUCAGGAAGACGAAUUCGUAACCGGGGACCAUUACGAAAUAGCUGAGACCAACUUUCUUGUUUAUUGACUCCAAAUAAAAUGACUUGGUGCAUUAUAAACGCAAAUGAAAACCUUAUUUACUGUGUCAAAUGAUUUUGUAACGAAUCGUUUAACUAUGGAAUUAUUUGAUAAAAUUAUGGUUUUUAUUUUCA
Molecule: long non-coding RNA, 974 nt
Organism: Mya arenaria
Lineage: Eukaryota; Metazoa; Mollusca; Bivalvia; Myida; Myidae
Exons: 2
Source: RefSeq, a predicted model, not a curated record